Molecule: ribosomal RNA, 397 nt
Filed under: uncultured bacterium
Lineage: Bacteria
Description: bacterial SSU rRNA
Rfam family: Bacterial small subunit ribosomal RNA
Source: RNAcentral
AUAUUGCACAAUGGGCGCAAGCCUGAUGCAGCGACGCCGCGUGAGGGAAGACGGUCUUCGGAUUGUAAACUUCUGUCUUCGGGGACGAAAGAUGACGGUACCCGAGGAGGAAGCCACGGCUAACUACGUUCCAGCAGCCGCGGAAAUACGUAGGUGGCGAGCGUUGUCCGGAAUUACUGGGUGUAAAGGGAGCGUAGGCGGGAAGACAAGUUGGACGUUAAAUUUAUCGGCUUAACCGGUAACCGCGUUCAAAACUGUUUUUCUUGAGUGAAGUAGAGGUUGGCGGAAUUCCUAGUGUAGCGGUGAAAUGCGUAGAUAUUAGGAGGAACACCAGUGGCGAAGGCGGCCAACUGGGCUUUAACUGACGCUGAGGCUCGAAAGCGUGGGGAGCAAACAG